Molecule: long non-coding RNA, 329 nt
Filed under: Populus tremula
Lineage: Eukaryota; Viridiplantae; Streptophyta; Magnoliopsida; Malpighiales; Salicaceae
Description: long non-coding RNA (PTRE_LNC000775)
Source: RNAcentral
UUGUGUGUUUUUGAUGUUAGAAUGUGCUUCUUUUGAGCUCAAAGUUUAAAUCUAGGACUGUUGUUUGAUGACCUUGAUCAUAGCUUGUUGUUCUUGAACGUCUUUGAUUUGGGUUUGAAUAGAAGACAGGUAGUGAUUUGAUUAAGUUUGAAUCUUUUCACUUUCUUUUAAGCACUAAUCUUAGUUGUUAAUAUUUGUUUAAUCAAGCAUUAAAACCCCAUUUCAUUUCUUUAAUAUUUGGAUGGUUCUAGCUACUAUAUUGCCAGGGUUUAUGGCAUUUGACCAGGAAUCCUGGUUCAUGUUGGUGGUUGAUAUGCGUUGAAAGACCC